This is a long non-coding RNA of Mytilus trossulus (common blue mussel), 408 nucleotides long. RefSeq lists it as uncharacterized. The record is from RefSeq and is a predicted model, not a curated record. The transcript has 3 exons. NCBI's taxonomy places the organism in Eukaryota, Metazoa, Mollusca, Bivalvia, Mytilida, Mytilidae.
GUAGAAGAAUUGCCUUUCUUGCUGACCAAAGCCGGCCAGUUGGACAGACUUAAAAAAACAAUUACAGAUCUGGAAAUCUUCUAUAGAUUGUGGGACAAUGAGGAUGGAAUUUUUGAGUUGAUCAAAGCUUGGAAAACGCUUGGUGGAUUCGAUUUGUCAGAAGAAGCAUACAUGUCAAAGGUUCAAAAGAUACCCAAAGAGGAUAUAAUGCAAAAUUCUACAUAUUACUGCAAACUGUACAGUCGAUUGGGAAAUUUCUUUUUGGUUAUUGGAAUAAUGGAAGCAGCAAAGAAGAUUUUCAAUACACUGAUUAAACAGCUGGAGCUGAACUAUGGUGAAUCUCAUGGGACUGUGGUGUACAAUGUGCAUGAUCAUACUUGGAAAUAUCGAUGUAAACACCCGGAUGUU